Molecule: non-coding RNA, 625 nt
Organism: Lupinus albus (white lupine)
Lineage: Eukaryota; Viridiplantae; Streptophyta; Magnoliopsida; Fabales; Fabaceae
Source: the annotation of a GenBank genome assembly
GAAUAAUUCCAAUGACAAGACAUGCCACCAGCACCAGCCAGGACUUACACAUGAUCUUACAGUAAUCUAAUGUUACAUAUCAAAAGUGAAACGAUAAUGUAAAAAAAAUGACCAAGACAAGAUUAAAGAAUUUCAAUCUCUCCCCUGCCAAACGCAGCCUCAAAUCAAGUCUCACUGCAUGUUCAUAAAUUGAGAACAUAGUCUGGUGAAACCUCGAAUUGCCUUCAAAUCAAUAUCAUAUCAUUGUGGUAAAUUGCCUUCUCCGUGUGCAUACAUAUGUGUAUAUCAGCCAUUGGAGCUAGUGACUUCUAACCACAGAGCACAGAUAAUCCGAGGUAGCUUUAAAAAAUGCUACCUGUCCCUUUUGAAUUUCUUAUGUCGUAGGGAGCUAUCUGGAGUGUGAGCGUUGAACUUACGUUUUACCCCAGUUGCUUGUUUUGAUGGAGCAGCAUCCAUGUGAGAGUUUGCUUUAGCCUUUCUGGCAGCAACCGAAGGUCGUUUCACCAAGCGCUCUUUUGGUUUUUCUCCACCAUGACCUUUCUUUUGUAUAUCGGAUUUGUUUGCGCGCAGACCCUGGGGUACUAGGAGCUCGUGCAGGUGAUAGGUAUGGCCUUUUAGAUGGGGU